AUCGCUUCUCGGCCUUUUGGCUAAGAUCAAGUGUAGUAUCUGUUCUUAUCAGUUUAUUCUACUCUUAAGGGACUCAAAGAACAGUGGAAAUCUAACCACCAUAAAUAUAUACUAUAAAGGGUUCAUCAGAGAAGACAAACAGAAUAACUAAUUCUUCCCUGAUAUGUAAAAAAGGAGGAAUCUGGUGAGUCUAA
Small nuclear RNA from Peromyscus californicus insignis, 194 nucleotides. RefSeq annotates it as U2 spliceosomal RNA. NCBI's taxonomy places the organism in Eukaryota, Metazoa, Chordata, Mammalia, Rodentia, Cricetidae. The transcript has a single exon. The record is from RefSeq and is a predicted model, not a curated record.